AAGGUUUAAUGGGGUCAGGUGGGGGGUAAUUAAGAUUUAAUGGGGUCAGUUUGGGGACAAUUAAGGUUUAAUGGGGUCAGAUGGGGUCAGAUUGAGAGCAGUGAAGGUUAGUGGGGUCAGAUUGGGGGUAAUUAAGGUUUAAUGGGGUCAGGUUGGGGAUAAUUAAGGUUUAAUGGGGUCAGAUGGGGUCAGAUUGGGAACGAUGAAGGUUAGCGGGGUCGGAUUGGGGGUAAUUAAGGUUUAAUGGGGUGAGAUGGGGUCAGAUUGGGGACAAUGAAGGUUUGAUGGGGUCGGGUUGGUGUCACCCAUGGGUGCUGAUGUGUUCCCCCCCCCCCAGAUGCUGAGGGGCUGAAAGGCGACGGCGAGCGGCCCCUGGAGGAGCUGCUGCGCUCACUGCCCCCCCCACAGGUGGGUCACUGGCACCCAGUGUCACCCAGUGUCACCUAUGGGCCCCCAUUGUCACCUGGUGGCACCCACGGGCCCCCAUUGUCACCUGGUGGCACCCAGUGUCACCCACUGUCACCUAUUGGGCCCCCAUUGUCAACUGGUGGCACCCACUGUCACCCACUGUCACCUAUUGGGCCCCCAUUGUCACCUGGUGGCACCCAGCGUCACCUAUGGGCACCUAUGGUCACCAGGUGUCACCCAUUGUUACCUGUGGGCACCCACUGUCACCUGGUGUCCCCCAGCGUCACCCAGUGUCACCUAUGGGCCCCCAUUGUCACCUGGUGGCACCCAGCGUCACCCACUGUCACCUAUGGGCCCCCAUUGUCACCUGGUGGCACCCACUGUCAUCCACUGUAACCUAUGGGCCCACAUUGUCA
Molecule: long non-coding RNA, 824 nt
Filed under: Phasianus colchicus (ring-necked pheasant)
Lineage: Eukaryota; Metazoa; Chordata; Aves; Galliformes; Phasianidae
Description: lncRNA (ENSPCLG00000017790.1)
Source: RNAcentral